CCUACGGGAGGCUGCAGUAGGGAAUCUUCCACAAUGGACGAAAGUCUGAUGGAGCAACGCCGCGUGAGUGAAGAAGGGUUUCGGCUCGUAAAGCUCUGUUGGUAGUGAAGAAAGAUAGAGGUAGUAACUGGCCUUUAUUUGACGGUAAUUACUUAGAAAGUAACGGCUAACUACGUGCCAGCAGGCGCGGUAAUACGUAGGUGGCAAGCGUUGUCCGGUGUUGUUGGGCCGAAGGCGAGUGCAGGCGGUUCAAUAAGUCGGAUGUGAAAGCCUGCGGCUCAACCCGAGAAUGGCAACCGAAACUGUUGAACUUGAGUGAAGAAGGGGGGAGUGGAACUCUAGGUGUAGCGGUGGAAUGCGUAGAU
Molecule: ribosomal RNA, 365 nt
Filed under: uncultured bacterium
Lineage: Bacteria
Description: partial 16S ribosomal RNA
Rfam family: Bacterial small subunit ribosomal RNA
Source: RNAcentral